Molecule: unclassified non-coding RNA, 400 nt
Filed under: uncultured Alphaproteobacteria bacterium
Lineage: Bacteria; Pseudomonadati; Pseudomonadota; Alphaproteobacteria
Description: contains 16S-23S intergenic spacer region
Source: RNAcentral
GGACUACUGGGGUUUCUAAUCCUGUUUGCUCCCCACGCUUUCGCGCCUCAGCGUCAGUUUCGGACCAGUUGGCCGCCUUCGCCACCGGUGUUCUUGCGAAUAUCUACGAAUUUCACCUCUACACUCGCAGUUCCACCAACCUCUUCCGAACUCAAGACUCCCAGUAUCGAAGGCAAUUCCAGGGUUGAGCCCUGGGCUUUCACCUCCGACUUAAAAGUCCGCCUACGCGCCCUUUACGCCCAGUGAUUCCGAGCAACGCUAGCCCCCUUCGUAUUACCGCGGCUGCUGGCACGAAGUUAGCCGGGGCUUAUUCUUCCGGUACAGUCAUUAUCUUCCCGGACAAAAGAGCUUUACAACCCUAAGGCCUUCAUCACUCACGCGGCAUGGCUGGAUCAGGCUU